Molecule: ribosomal RNA, 497 nt
Filed under: uncultured bacterium
Lineage: Bacteria
Description: partial 16S ribosomal RNA
Rfam family: Bacterial small subunit ribosomal RNA
Source: RNAcentral
GAUGAACGCUGGCGGCGUGCCUAAUACAUGCAAGUCGAGCGAACAGACGAGGAGCUUGCUCCUCUGACGUUAGCGGCGGACGGGUGAGUAACACGUGGAUAACCUACCUAUAAGACUGGGAUAACUUCGGGAAACCGGAGCUAAUACCGGAUAAUAUAUUGAACCGCAUGGUUCAAUAGUGAAAGACGGUUUUGCUGUCACUUAUAGAUGGAUCCGCGCCGCAUUAGCUAGUUGGUAAGGUAACGGCUUACCAAGGCAACGAUGCGUAGCCGACCUGAGAGGGUGAUCGGCCACACUGGAAGUGAGACACGGUCCAGUCUCCUACGGGAGGCAGCAGUAGGGAAUCUUCCGCAAUGGGCGAAAGCUUGACGGAGCAACGCCGCGUGAGUGAUGAAGGUCUUCGGAUCGUAAAACUCUGUUAUUAGGGAAGAACAAAUGUGUAAGUAACUAUGCACGUCUUGACGGUACCUAAUCAGAAAGCCACGGCUAACUACGUG